CUAGCCUACGGGGCGCAGCAGUAAGGAAUCUUCCACAAUGGACGAAAGUCUGAUGGAGCAACGCCGCGUGAGUGAAGAAGGGUUUCGGCUCGUAAAGCUCUGUUGGUAGUGAAGAAAGAUAGAGGUAGUAACUGGCCUUUAUUUGACGGUAAUUACUUAGAAAGUCACGGCUAACUACGUGCCAGCAGCCGCGGUAAUACGUAGGUGGCAAGCGUUGUCCGGAUUUAUUGGGCGUAAAGCGAGUGCAGGCGGUUCAAUAAGGCUUG
Molecule: ribosomal RNA, 266 nt
Filed under: uncultured bacterium
Lineage: Bacteria
Description: partial 16S ribosomal RNA
Rfam family: Bacterial small subunit ribosomal RNA
Source: RNAcentral